UGUAGUCAUAUGCUUGUCUCAAAGAUUAAGCCAUGCAUGUCUAAGUAUAAGCAACUUGUACAGUGAAACUGCGAAUGGCUCAUUAAAUCAGUUAUCGUUUAUUUGAUAAUCCCUUACUACAUGGAUACCUGUGGUAAUUCUAGAGCUAAUACAUGCUUCAAGGAGUGGCUCUCGUCACUCUGCACUUAUUAGAUAAAAAACCAAUGCCCCUUUGGGGCUCCCUGGUGAUUCAUAAUAAUUUAGCGGACCGCAUUCCCUCGAGGAGGCGGUGGAUCAUUCAAAUUUCUGCCCUAUCAACUUUCGAUGGUAGGAUAGUGGCCUACCAUGGUUUCAACGGGUAACGGGGA
This 347-nucleotide ribosomal RNA is filed under the name uncultured fungus. RNAcentral describes it as "SSU rRNA". It matches the Rfam family "Eukaryotic small subunit ribosomal RNA", at positions 21 to 368 of the family's 1831-position model. Lineage: Eukaryota; Fungi. The record is from RNAcentral.